Long non-coding RNA from Cercocebus atys (sooty mangabey), 2801 nucleotides. RefSeq lists it as uncharacterized. Lineage: Eukaryota; Metazoa; Chordata; Mammalia; Primates; Cercopithecidae. The record is from RefSeq and is a predicted model, not a curated record. The transcript is spliced from 6 exons.
CAAGAACUCAUCCUUCCCAGCUGGAAUGACAACAUCCACAUGGAUCAGCACCACGGGCUUUGGCCUCGGGAUCAAAAGACAUAUGAAAGCAACCUUAUGUGGUGGGCACUCUCUGAUCCAGAUUUUACAGAUGAAGAGGCUGAGAUACAGAAAAGUGACACACACCCAUGGUGAUACAGACUCACAAUUACUUGUCGCAGAUCAUACAGCUACUAAAUCUGCAAUCUGCAAGAUGAUCUCCUGGAGAGAUUUGGUUCCAACUUGUGCCAUCUCUGGCCCCUCUGCUGAAGUUUCCAAUAAUAUGGAAAUGCCUGUUGAGGAAACAGGGAGCAGCACAGGUCUUCUAAAUUCCACCAGUACAUCUGCUUUUGGCUCACUCUCAACCAAGUAACUGAGACUAAAACGAGUUUUAGUUCAAACUUAUCUGUGUCUGUAAGGAGAACUCAAAAUAUUUGGUGAACAGCUCUAAUGACGACCACACCCCUGGGGUACACAAUUCCUGCAGAGAUGACAAGAGGAUGAAGAUUGAGGACACCCAUCCCUGCCCUGACUUUCUCUAAGGAGGGAAACAUGGUAGCCUGCCAAUAAAGCAUCAGGAAUGAGUUCCAUAUGCCUGUGUUCAUUUUGGCAAAGUUAAGUCAGAAGAACAGGUUUAUUUCAACGGCAGGAAGAAAGAGCCACACAGGAAAUCGGCAAUACUCCCAGUGUUAUAACUGAGUUGGCAGAUUGGAAAAACAUCACUAGACAGAGUCAUUUGCAUCGGUGAUAUUUUGGAUUUCACAAGUGAGUCAUCUGCAUCCUCCACCCAGUGAGUCAGCCAUGCCCCUGACUAGCACGGAGCAUCUCUAUUUUGGUUAAGUGUGGAGACUGCAUGACACCUGUCCUAGCAGAUUGCAAACUUGCCAUUUAUACCACUUACAGUGACAAUUCACUGAAUUUUCGUGAAUGGAUUAUCAACUAGUUAGGGUUCUUGUAAGUGGUCGUGAGAGUCACAGAGAAAUUGAGGGAGAAAUUUACUUUACAGGAAAUGGUUAACUAUCAUGCAGCACUUACUUGCAAUAGCCAGGAUGCUCAUGAAAACAAAGAAAUAUACCUUGAUGGCUUAAUUGCUCAUGGAUGCAAAUUAACUCAAGUGAGAAAGGGCUGGGCACUGGGUUAAUUCUAAGGUGUUUUGCUGUUUCAGGUUUACAUUCCCGUCUCAAACAUAUGCCUUGCAUCUAACAGCUGGGCGUGAGAGUGGAGGUUUGAAGGUUGUGGGGGUGCUGAUGGGAGCAGAACAGGUGAAGUCAUGUGUAGCACAUUAUGAGAUUUUAAUCUUAACUGUGAAUUAAAACAUAGGUAAAGAAAAAUCGUAAAGUGUUGAAAUCCCACAUGGGUCGGUUUAACAACUAGGUAUUUUAUUGUCACAACUAGAAGACUUGAUUUUUGAUUACAGAACAGGGAAGAGGGUGGAUGACAAAAUUGAAAGUAAUCACAGGAAUUAAGGAAAAAUUCAAAUCAAUCUCUGUACCGUUUGCUGAUGCUAUUUACAUUCACCUUAAGUUUUCACUCUAGGAGAGAAGACUGUUAGAUGGAAGGGUAAAAACGAGAUUAGGUAUGAAUUAGGCCAGUGAAAAGUUGAAAAUUUUGUUAAGUUCCUAGGGUUUUGUGUGUGUGUGUGUGUGCGCAUCUGAACAAAUGAUGGCUAAUUUGCUUUGACUGUUUGGGAAUAUUCCUUUGUUGGCAGUUUCCAAAAGUGAGCAGCAGUAGCUAUUCUUAUAUCAGAAAAAACAGACUUUAAAGCAACAACAGUUAAAAAAGGCAAAGAUGGUAAUUAUAUAAUAAUAAACGGAUUAAUCCAACAAGAAGAUACUACAAUCCUAAUUAUUUACCCAUAGCUCUGGAGCUCCCAGAUUCAUAAACAAUUGCUACUAGACCUAAGUAAAGAGAUAAACGCAACACAAUAAUAGUUGGGGACUUCAACUCCUCUGAAAGUACUUGACAGAUCACCAAGGCAGAAAGUCAACAAAGAAACACUUGACUUAAACUACACUCUAGAGCAAAUGGACCUAAUAGUUAUUUAUAGAACAUUCUACCCAAGAACUGUAGAAUAUAUAUUCUUUUCAUCAGCACAUGGAACAUUCUCCAGGAUAGACCAUGUGAUAAGUCACAACACAAGUCUCAAUGCAUUAAAAAAUCGAAAUAAUAUCAAACAUCUUUUCAGACCACAGUGGAAUCAAACUAGAAGUCAACUCCAAAAGGACCCUCAAAACUAUGUAAAUACAUGGAAAUUAAACCAUCUUUUCCUGAAUGAUUUUGGGGUUAUCAAUGAAAUCAAGAUGGGAAUUGAAAAAUUAUUCAGAAUGAAUAAUAGUGACAUAAGUUAUCAAAAUCUUGGAUACAGUAAAAGCAGUGCUAAGAGGAAAGUUUAUAGUACUAAAUGCCUACAUCAACAAGUCUGAAAGAUCACAAAUUGACAAGCUAACAUUGCACCUCAAGAAAUUAGAGAAGUAAGAACAAACCAAGCCCAAAGCUAACAGAAGAAAAGAAAUAACGAGCAUCAGAUCAGAACUAAAUAAAAUUAAAACAGCAAAAAACAAAACAAAAGAUGAAUGAAACAAAAUGUUGGUUCUUUGUAAAGGUAAACCAAAUCAAUAGACCAUUAGCCAGAUUAACCAAGAAAAGAAGAGAGAAGAUUCCAAUAAGCUUAAUUAGGAAUGAAAAUGGAAACAUUACAACCAAACCACAGAAAUACAAAAGAUAAUUUGAGACCACUAUGAACCCUUCCAUGCACACAAACUAGAAAAUCUAAAGGAAAUGGA